Molecule: ribosomal RNA, 53 nt
Filed under: Musa exotica
Lineage: Eukaryota; Viridiplantae; Streptophyta; Magnoliopsida; Zingiberales; Musaceae
Description: partial 18S ribosomal RNA
Rfam family: Eukaryotic small subunit ribosomal RNA
Source: RNAcentral
GGGGAGAGAAACGUAACAAGGUUUCCGUAGGUGAACCUGCGGAAGGAUCAUUG